GUGGGGAAUAUUGGACAAUGGGGGGAACCCUGAUCCAGCCAUGCCGCGUGUGUGAAGAAGGCCUUUUGGUUGUAAAGCACUUUAAGCGAGGAGGAGGCUACCGAGAUUAAUACUCUUGGAUAGUGGACGUUACUCGCAGAAUAAGCACCGGCUAACUCUGUGCCAGCAGCCGCGGUAAUACAGAGGGUGCAAGCGUUAAUCGGAUUUACUGGGCGUAAAGCGCGCGUAGGUGGCAAAUUAAGUCAAAUGUGAAAUCCCCGAGCUUAACUUGGGAAUUGCAUUCGAUACUGGUUGGCUAGAGUAUGGGAGAGGAUGGUAGAAUUCCAGGUGUAGCGGUGAAAUGCGUAGAGAUCUGGAGGAAUACCGAUGGCGAAGGCAGCCAUCUGGCCUAAUACUGACACUGAGGUGCGAAAGCGUGGGGAGCAAACAGGAUUAGAUACCCUUGUAGUC
RNAcentral lists this ribosomal RNA (450 nucleotides) under uncultured bacterium. Its description in RNAcentral is "bacterial SSU rRNA". It matches the Rfam family "Bacterial small subunit ribosomal RNA", at positions 354 to 795 of the family's 1533-position model. The record is from RNAcentral.